ACUCCUACGGGAGGCAGCAGUGGGGAAUAUUGCACAAUGGGGGAAACCCUGAUGCAGCCAUGCCGCGUGUGUGAAGAAGGCCUUCGGGUUGUAAAGCACUUUCAGUAGGGAGGAAGGUAGUGUAGUUAACACCUGCAUUAUUUGACGUUACCUACAGAAGAAGCACCGGCUAACUCCGUGCCAGCAGCCGCGGUAAUACGGAGGGUGCGAGCGUUAAUCGGAAUUACUGGGCGUAAAGCGCAUGCAGGCGGCCUGUUAAGUCAGAUGUGAAAGCCCGGGGCUUAACCUCGGAAUUGCAUUUGAAACUGGCAGGCUAGAGUCUUGUGAGGGGGGUAGAAUUUCAGGUGUAGCGGUGAAAUGCGUAGAGAUCUGAAGGAAUACCAGUGGCGAAGGCGGCCCCCCUGGACAAAGACUGACGCUCAGAUGCGAAAGGCGUGGGGAGCAAAACAGGAUUAGAUACCCUGUAGCACAGAG
RNAcentral lists this ribosomal RNA (474 nucleotides) under uncultured bacterium. RNAcentral describes it as "bacterial SSU rRNA". It matches the Rfam family "Bacterial small subunit ribosomal RNA", at positions 335 to 799 of the family's 1533-position model. The record is from RNAcentral.